This 62-nucleotide non-coding RNA is filed under the name uncultured Desulfovibrio sp. The record is from RNAcentral. Lineage: Bacteria; Pseudomonadati; Thermodesulfobacteriota; Desulfovibrionia; Desulfovibrionales; Desulfovibrionaceae.
UGCGAAACGUCCCACCAUGGGACGUCGUCGUGGCGUGGCGGCCACGGCCUGAUGAGCAGCCG